CCUCAAAUCAGGUAGGACUACCCGCUGAACUUAAGCAUAUCAAUAAGCGGAGGAAAAGAAACUAACAAGGAUUCCCCUAGUAACUGCGAGUGAAGAGGGAAGAGCUCAAAUUUAAAAUCUGUCAGUCUUUGGCUGGCCGAGUUGUAAAUUAGAGAAGUGCCUAUCUGCGCUGGCCUGUGCAAAAGUCUCUUGGAAAAGGGCAUCAUAGAGGGUGACAAUCCCGUCUUUGGUACAGAGCUCCAGGGCUUCAUGAUGCGCUCUCGAUGAGUCGAGUUGUUUGGGAAUGCAGCUCUAAAUGGGUGGUAAAUUCCAUCUAAAGCUAAAUAUUGGCGAGAAACCGAUAGCGCACAAGUACCGUGAGGGAAAGAUGAAAAGAACUUUGAAAAGAGAGUUAAACAGUACGUGAAAUUGUUGAAAGGGAAACGCUUGAAGUCAGUCGUGUCCUUCAGAAAUCAACCUGACCUUGGUCUGGCUUACUUUCUGGUGGAUGGGCCAGCAUCAAUUUUGAUCAUUGGAUAAAGGCUUUGGGAAAGUGACAUCUCCGGAUGUGUUAUAGCCCUUGGUUCAUAUACAGUGGUUGGGAUUGAGGAACUCAGUGUGAACUUGGGGCUUUGGCCUACAACACGCACUUAGGAUGCUGGCAUAAU
Molecule: ribosomal RNA, 647 nt
Filed under: uncultured Basidiomycota
Lineage: Eukaryota; Fungi; Basidiomycota
Description: LSU rRNA
Rfam family: Eukaryotic large subunit ribosomal RNA
Source: RNAcentral